ACGUAGGGUGCGAGCGUUGUCCGGAAUUAUUGGGCGUAAAGAGCUCGUAGGCGGUCUGUCACGUCGGUCGUGAAAACUUGGGGCUUAACCCUGAGCUUGCGGUCGAUACGGGCAUGACUUGAGUUCGGCAGGGGAGACUGGAAUUCCUGGUGUAGCGGUGAAAUGCGCAGAUAUCAGGAGGAACACCGGUGGCGAAGGCGGGUCUCUGGGCCGAUACUGACGCUGAGGAGCGAAAGCGUGGGGAGCGAACAGG
This 253-nucleotide ribosomal RNA is filed under the name uncultured bacterium. RNAcentral describes it as "partial 16S ribosomal RNA". It matches the Rfam family "Bacterial small subunit ribosomal RNA", at positions 525 to 776 of the family's 1533-position model. The record is from RNAcentral.